Xyrichtys novacula (pearly razorfish) is the source of this 5165-nucleotide non-coding RNA. The record is from the annotation of a GenBank genome assembly. NCBI's taxonomy places the organism in Eukaryota, Metazoa, Chordata, Actinopteri, Labriformes, Labridae.
CUCCAUAUUUAUGGUAAGUGUAAAUGUACAAACACAGCUCCUACUGAUAAUCAGAGCAGACACUCAGUAUAUUUGGAGUAGUGUUGGGCAGUAUGAACAAAAUUAUAUAUCAUGGUAUAAGUAAUUUCAUUUCAUGGUAAACAGUAUAUUACAGUAUGUUUUUUUCCCCUGUUAAUUCAAUUAAUGGCUUAAAAUAAACCAUACUGUUGCAGACCAGACCAGUCUGUUGAUUUUUUAUCUUAUGGCAUACCUUUGGCGAAAGACUCUGUCAAGCUCUUUUGUAUGAGAGAAGUUCCUGCAACUUUAGUUUUUGGUGAAAUUGGUGCGUCACGCAUCUUUUGGCUCUCAUGAUAGAGCUUGGCAUGUUUCAUCUUUAGGUGGUAGAAGCAUAGACUGUAUAUACUAUGGACAACCUGGUUCCGCCUUCCGCCUGCAUACGGAUUUGAAGCCAAAAAGCUCUCGGUAAUUCUGUGUUUUUCUCCACUUCCUUGAAACCAGAGCUGUGCAGUAGCGAUGCGCGCAUUCGGCCUGUGAUGACGCUCGGCUCAAACAGCGUAUCCCCCCGGGUGAGCUAUGCAAUCCCUGAACGCCCAUACGCUGUAGCAGGUGUCAAUCAUAGAAAACAUGAACCCCCUAAUAACUUUUAAAGGGGACCUGCCAUCAAAAUGUAAUUUUGUGUGUUUUUUGUGUCAGAUAAGGUCCAUAUUAUGUUCGUCUUAUGUUGUAAAUGUGAAAACAAACCGUUACGUCAUUUGCAUUCUGUAAAGGUUUAAAAUAAAGAACGGGUAAACCAGGCCAAUUGAAAAAGCAGGUCCCUCUGACGUCGCGCUGACCUUGCUCAUUAUUAUUCACGAGCGCGUCCUCGGUGAGCCGCACCCACUCUCUCAUUCUCGUACUCAGUCACAGUCAGAGCGAAACCCAGCUACCACUGUAUCCGCUAUGGGUCUCUUCCAAAUGACCGGUGUUUCCUUCGGUUCACUGCCGGGAAAAGGAACUUAAAGCUGGGCAGAAUGAAUGAGAAAACACCGCUGGAGAUCUCUGGCUUCUUCUUCAACUUCCACCUCCUCGUCGGACUCGGGGUCUAAAAUAUAUGGUUUAAUACCUGCCAGUUUUAGCCUUUAGCAUAAAGUGACCAGACAUCCCCUCGACGGGCUCGAACAACGGUUAUUACAGUAGCCGAAUGGGUAGGAAGCACAAGUAAGCAGUCCUGAACAACAGUUCUUAUGGGGGUUAUUACAAGGGGCAUGCGCUGCUACUAAAUAGUACCGAGAUUUUGUCUGUGAUCACACAGCCCCUGCAGCGCCGCACCGAAUAUCCCCGGAUACCAUUACAGACAUCUGGGCACCUUACUUUACCACACAUUAGCAAAAUGGAUAAACCGAAAUCCGAACCUCCACUGCUGAGCCAAUCAGAGCACAGCAGGCUUCACAGCAGCGAUCCAAUCAGAGCAAAGCUCAUUACCAUAAAUGUUAAUGAGCCAAAAUCAGUUGGUUUUCCUGUAAGAUUUUUUAGGCAUACUAAAAACAAACCAUCAAAUAACUUUUCAGCUAAAAUUAUGUUGCAAACAUGAUCAGAGGACAUCAAGGAUUAUGAAAAAAUUAUAAAAAUGGGUAUGAAAUUUUGAUGGCAGGUCCCCUUUAAAAACAGAGCUGUACAGAAAAAAAAGGACUUGGGCACAAACCAGUCUUACAGUAACUACAUGUCAACAUCACAAGCAGGGGGGAGAAAAAAUUUAUGUUCUGUGUAAUAAAUUUCUAAAGUUUGUCCACAGUCCCAUGAGCUUUGCUGGAGGAGGCGGGAUUUAUGACCUGUACUGCAGCCCACCAUCAGAGGGUGCUGUUCUCGGAGUGGCUUCACCCAGCGAGGAGGCAGACAGCGUCCAUUCUUUAUACAGUCUAUGGGUAGAAGAGGUUGCUGGUGUUUCCACCUCCAGCAACGACAGCCACAUGACACUCUUUGCAUUUUAUUGUUUUUUGGUCAUUGUCGGAUUUUCUAAAUCCGAAGAAUCCCCAGACAACCGAUGUCGCAACUUUCGCCCUUAUUAGAACGAGUUCUUCCUCCUCUUCCUCGUGUUGGGUGGGUCAGGCUGCCUCAGUUUGCCCUGUUCUGCCACUAACCUCUGUGUCUGCCAUGACCACCACCAGUGAAGCUGUUUCUUUUUCGUCAAAACUAUGCCAAGCAGUCUGCUGGACACACUGAUUAUAGGGAUUGUACUCAAACCCGACCAAUCAAACGGAGCGAACAAACUCUGCAUGACACGUUGGUGAAUAUAUGGAAACACACCUAAACAGAUGUGCUCCGGCUGUCUUGUUAGUGAGCACAGACAACAACACACCGACUCAGAGAGACGCAGCAGCAGACAUCUGCUCUCUCUCCAGUAUAAACAGUAUAGCAAAAUUUCUACUGGUAGACACUUUUGUACUGUCACAUGGUAUAUACCGUCAUACUGCCCAACACUAAUUUGGAGGUUUCUGGAUUGUUUCCUAAUGAUGCUGAAAACAUCCUCUCUGCCUGAACCAUCUUUACACUCACACUAUAUAGGUGACUAUAUGGGGGUUAGCGCCAUUUUAAGGGGUGUCCGAAACCUGAGUGGUCAAUUCCAAUGCCCCAUAUAGGCACCUCAAAAUUUCCCAUAGAGCAUUGCAAAAUGGAGUGACCAUCAAAUGGUCACUUACUGGUGGUGGGCAUCCCAUCAUGCAUUGUGUCAUGCCAUGUAGUGUCCGAAACCUCCGGUUAAUUGAGCUCACAACAUAGUAAGCUAUAUAGUGAAACCCCAUAUGGGGGUUAGGGGUUAGGGAUUGAGUGAUUCAUUUCGGGCACAGCCUUUGGCAGCAGAGUGUGGUGUGUGGUGUAUUUUGUGGACCCAGAAGCAGACACGGAGACAGAUAGUAAAUUAAAGAUGUAGGGCUCUAUUUUUGUGCCUUGCCGGAGACGUGCCGCAGGCGCGGCGUAAGUCAGGUCCGCCGCGCCGACAAGGCGUUCCCAAGCAUAAUUUGGUAUUUUGGUGAGCGGCGCAGCCCGGCGUAAGUAUCCCCCCUCCCUAACUCAGCUCCUCCCAGCGGCGUAAGUCGUAGCGAGGGAGGAGAGAGGGCGUGGAGUGGGUUUAACACAGCCGAGACCUGUUUUCACCAAUCACAUAAGCUCCUCUCCUUGCCUUUAAAUCCGCCACCGGCGAGGCGUAUUACUAUUUUUGUGAAGUAGUCAAAGAGAUCAAGAGAUGUCUGAAGACAGUAAGGCCACACGAUGGCGACAGAAGGCCGCUCCUCAAAGUGUCACUGUAAGCGCUGCAUUGGGCGUCCUCCACACUCUCUCAUAUGAGCACAGAUGGAUUUGGUGUGUGUAAUGUUGGACCCACUGGUAAGACAAACACCCUUUUCCACAAAUAAAGACACUCACAUAAAGUUGCAUAUAUUCAAACCUCAUGUGACAAAGGUGGGUUGAGCGCAAAAAUGGCUCCAAAAAUGGCAUUAAAAUCGGAACCAUCUGUGCGUAAAUGACGCAUCGCGCUCCGUGGCCUGGCUCUUUCUUUCAUAGAUGUUGGCAUAUAAAAUAAAUUUGCCUCACAAAACUGAAUAUUAUAAUAUCCGUAUGUCAGCUUCAAGUAGAUAACUCAUCUGAGCACUGAAACAAAUCAUCUGUUCAGCCGCUGCAGGACGGAGAGAGGACACAGAGACAUGUCCAGGACGAGCUGUGCGAGAAAUAAGAGGAAGAGGAAGAAAGAAAAGGAGGGAGACGAAUAACAUAUCUUGUUAACUUCAUCAUGUGUGUUUAUUUACUAGAUAUUUAAUUAAAUUCAAUGCGGUUUCAGCUCUGUUGAUUCAGUCAGGUUGUGUGUCCAAGCGUGUGCCAAACGCGCUCACCAGAUCAGAUAUAGAUCAGAAUAUAUCUAUAUAGAUCUAAAUGUAUGUGCUGACUCAGAUUAAUAGUUGUUGAUGAUUAUUUAUUGCACUGAAAUGUGCCUGACACUGUGGAAACCUGUCGGUGAGGCAUCGGUGACGUAUGCCGAUACGCCGCCGGUCUACCAAAAUACCUCUAGACCAGCUGCAUUUCGCUUGCGCUGAAAGCUGACCAGUCUUUUAUCGGCGCACUUUACACGCCAUUGGCGAGCACGAAAAUGUCACUGCGCCAGCUGAUUCUGUCGACACCUCCCCCUGUCUCGCCACCACGCCCAGCUUGGCGGACCUCAGUGCGCCUCAGUCCACGAAAAUACCAAACUGGCUGUACGCUGGGCUCCGCCAGACGAAAAUACAACUGCGUGGGGUCCGCCACCCUCCAGGGAAAAGGCACAAGAGAAAGUCCGGUUGGCUGGCUGGCUGUUGUGUGGGCUGGAGACACUGUGGAGAAAACAGAGGAGAUAGAAGUGAGAGGGCAUACAAGGAAUCACAGGGAGCAAAAAUUACUAGCACUUAGCCGAGGAGAAGGCCGGGAAAGGCGUCUGUACCACUGAGGAGUGAAGACAAUACUCAGGUGCUGAGACUGUGGGCUUCUGGCUUCUUCAAGGGCCAUGAUUGUAGAUGCAGUGCAGGUGUGGAGUCUCACUCAUCCUCAGUGACCAGGGAGGGGGAGGGUGCUCUAAAACAGUCAAACCAGACCAGGGAAACAAAGAAACACAGAAAGUCCAACCAAAAUAAAACAAGAGGAGGAGGUGUCUCACCACACAGAGAGCAGAGUUCACGAACUGAGUCCAGUUUGAGGUUUAAAGAACAGAAAGACUUUGGUUCGUGUCAUUGACAGCUGCUGCUUUAAGCCUCAUUCUAAUAAACACAUCACCUCUAAAGUCACUGCAGACUUUUUCUCCAUAAAACCACACCAGAAGAUUGAGGUGUGGUUCAGUUCUAUGAACUGAACUGAAGUUCAGUUCAUAGAAACUGGAUUUGUAAAAGACAGGACCACCCACAAAGUAAAAACUGAAGCAUCAUUGUGAUCCAGUCUCCAUGCUGCACUCUGCAGACCAGCAAGCUUUCUGUCUGUCACAGAUGAUCUGAUGUUCAGUUCUACAAGUUCAAGUUCAUAUUUUGUUCUGUUCCAGCUGCUCCAGGAGAACAUGAUCAGCUUUGUAAAAAACCAGCUGAAGGACAUCCAGAGAGUUCUGAGUCUAGAUGAGCCAGCAUGCUUAGAGAGUCAGAGGGAGGAUGAGGAUGAAGAGCAGAGGAGGAGCAGAGGGG